Molecule: ribosomal RNA, 550 nt
Filed under: uncultured bacterium
Lineage: Bacteria
Description: partial 16S rRNA
Rfam family: Bacterial small subunit ribosomal RNA
Source: RNAcentral
UGGGGNANUNUNNNNNAAUGGGCGCAAGCCUGAUCCAGCCAUGCCGCGUGUCUGAAGAAGGCCUUCGGGUUGUAAAGGACUUUUGUCAGGGAAGAAAAGGCUGUUGCUAAUAUCGACAGCUGAUGACGGUACCUGAAGAAUAAGCACCGGCUAACUACGUGCCAGCAGCCGCGGUAAUACGUAGGGUGCGAGCGUUAAUCGGAAUUACUGGGCGUAAAGCGAGCGCAGACGGUUACUUAAGCAGGAUGUGAAAUCCCCGGGCUCAACCUGGGAACUGCGUUCUGAACUGGGUGACUAGAGUGUGUCAGAGGGAGGUAGAAUUCCACGUGUAGCAGNGAAAUGCGUAGAGAUGUGGAGGAAUACCGAUGGCGAAGGCAGCCUCCUGGGAUAACACUGACGUUCAUGCUCGAAAGCGUGGGUAGCAAACAGGAUUAGAUACCCUGGUAGUCCACGCCCUAAACGAUGUCAAUUAGCUGUUGGGCAACUUGAUUGCUUANNNNCGUAGCUAACGCGUGAAAUUGACCGCCUGGGGAGUACGGUCGCAAGAUUA